RNAcentral lists this ribosomal RNA (253 nucleotides) under uncultured bacterium. RNAcentral describes it as "partial 16S ribosomal RNA". It matches the Rfam family "Bacterial small subunit ribosomal RNA", at positions 524 to 776 of the family's 1533-position model. The record is from RNAcentral.
UACAGAGGUCUCAACCGUUGUUCGGAUUCAUUGGGCGUAAAGGGUGCGUAGGCGGCGGGGUAAGUCAGGUGUGAAAUCUCGGGGCUCAACCCCGAAACUGCACUUGAUACUGCCUCGCUUGAGUACUGGAGAGGAGACUGGAAUUUACGGUGUAGCAGUGAAAUGCGUAGAUAUCGUAAGGAAGACCAGUGGCGAGGGCGAGUCUCUGGACAGUUACUGACGCUGAGGCACGAAGGCCAGGGGAGCAAACGGG